GGUCAAGCUACAAAGGGCUCAUGGCGGAUACCUUGGCACACAGAGGCGAUGAAGGACGUGGUUACCUGCGAUAUGUCUCGUGGAGCUGGAUACACGCUUUGAUCCGGGAAUUUCCGAAUGGGGCAACCCUUAGAACGGCCAGCUGAAUACAUAGGCUGGCGCGAGCCAACCCAGCG
This 176-nucleotide ribosomal RNA is filed under the name uncultured cyanobacterium. RNAcentral describes it as "partial 23S ribosomal RNA". It matches the Rfam family "Bacterial large subunit ribosomal RNA", at positions 1 to 190 of the family's 2925-position model. The record is from RNAcentral. Lineage: Bacteria; Bacillati; Cyanobacteriota.